This is a small nucleolar RNA of Tupaia belangeri (northern tree shrew), 132 nucleotides long. NCBI's taxonomy places the organism in Eukaryota, Metazoa, Chordata, Mammalia, Scandentia, Tupaiidae. The record is from Ensembl.
AGGCUGGGGGCAAGGGCCUUAUCUGGAAAAUAGCUCCUCUGCUUAUAGCACACCCAGAGGAAUCUGGGGGCACUGUGACGUGGGACACAAAAACACCUGCCCUCUGCCCCCAUGAACAAAUGCCUUACCCAG